Molecule: ribosomal RNA, 253 nt
Filed under: uncultured bacterium
Lineage: Bacteria
Description: partial 16S ribosomal RNA
Rfam family: Bacterial small subunit ribosomal RNA
Source: RNAcentral
UACAGAGGUCUCAAGCGUUGUUCGGAUUCAUUGGGCGUAAAGGGUGCGUAGGUGGUCGGGUAAGUCUCAUGUGAAAUCUCCAAGCUCAACUUGGAAAUGGCAUGGGAUACUAUUCGGCUAGAGGAUUGGAGGGGGGACUGGAAUUCCCGGUGUAGCAGUGAAAUGCGUAGAUAUCGGGAGGAACACCAGUGGCGAAGGCGAGUCCCUGGACAAUUCCUGACGCUGAGGCACGAAAGCUAGGGGAGCAAACAGG